GAUGAACGCUAGCGGCAGGCCUAACACAUGCAAGUCGAGGGGUAUAGUAGCAAUACUAGAGACCGGCGCACGGGUGCGUAACGCGUAUGCAAUCUACCUUUUACAGAGGGAUAGCCCAGAGAAAUUUGGAUUAAUACCUCAUAGUGUUAUAGAGUGGCAUCAUUUUAUAACUAAAGUUCCAACGGUAAAAGAUGAGCAUGCGUCCUAUUAGCUAGAUGGUAAGGUAACGGCUUACCAUGGCUACGAUAGGUAGGGGUCCUGAGAGGGAGAUCCCCCACACUGGUACUGAGACACGGACCAGACUCCUACGGGAGGCAGCAGUGAGGAAUAUUGGACAAUGGGCGCAAGCCUGAUCCAGCCAUGCCGCGUGCAGGAAGACGCAUCU
RNAcentral lists this ribosomal RNA (385 nucleotides) under uncultured bacterium. Its description in RNAcentral is "bacterial SSU rRNA". It matches the Rfam family "Bacterial small subunit ribosomal RNA", at positions 28 to 418 of the family's 1533-position model. The record is from RNAcentral.